CAAGCCACGAAAACACACGGAAGAACCUUAAAUGCAUAUGACCAAGUGAAAGGAGCCGGUCUGAAAAGGCCACACACGCCACAGGAUUCCAACUCCGUGACAUUCUGGAAAAGGCAGAAGUACAGAGAAGCGUGCAGGCCCGAGAGUGAACCCCAGUGUAAACCGUGCACUUUGGCUGAUACUGAUGUGUCGAUGCGGGUUCAUUGAUGAAAAGAAAAUCCUGUGUCAGAUCUUCAGCCAUCCUCAGCUGGCCCACAAGACCCCAUCCUGUUUGGUGCUCCGAGUCAAAAGGUGGUCCACCUGGACCUGCUGCAAGCCACAGGAGGCUCAGAGGAGCUGUGACUCUUGAUCUUGGGGUUAAGGGUUCAAGCCCCACCUACGGUGUAGCGAUUACUUGAAUAAAUGA
Molecule: long non-coding RNA, 406 nt
Organism: Canis lupus familiaris (dog)
Lineage: Eukaryota; Metazoa; Chordata; Mammalia; Carnivora; Canidae
Exons: 3
Source: RefSeq, a predicted model, not a curated record